Molecule: long non-coding RNA, 1431 nt
Organism: Tetranychus urticae (two-spotted spider mite)
Lineage: Eukaryota; Metazoa; Arthropoda; Arachnida; Trombidiformes; Tetranychidae
Source: RefSeq, a predicted model, not a curated record
AAAGAAGCUUAAAUUUUAGAAACCAAAUAAGCCUCAACUCGCCUCAGUAAGAAUAGACUGUGUAACACUGCGACUAACAAUUUACAUAAAGAUUCAACAAUAAUCAUGAAAAAAGGUAAGAUAAACAGUGACUUCCAUAAAAAACAUGAAAGGCAUAAUGUUACUGUAGAUAGCUGCUUUUGUUUAGAAAGUUAAAGAUGUUUCGAGAAAGUAAGAACAAGGAAAGUAGGUAACACAAACAAACAGCCAAAAUUACCAAAGUUUACCAGAUAAUUCAAGCACUAGAUACAAAGUAAUAACACAUCCAAGUGGAGCAACAUUGACACAGCGUUUUAUUUUAAAGAUUUUUUUAUUUGUUUUUCUAUCUUAUCUUAUUUUUGGCUAUUCACUGUUGAAAAGAGACAGAAAAAGCAUUGAACUUCUUAAGGAAGUCGAAGGAAAAGUUUACCUUUUCAAAUUAGUAUCUAAAGGAUGGUUGACUUUUCAAACUCAACCCAAUCUCAACUAAUUUACUCGAGAUGUUUUAGAUUCAUCAAUUCGGAUCACUUCAAUUUAAAUUUGAUUCCCUUUCUUCUCAAUGUUUAACAUUUUAUUGACCAUUUAUAAUAGCAAAGUGUAAAUAAUUGUUCACAAUGGUUUAGUUAAAGGGUAUAAUAAAAACAAAAUGCAAUUUAAGUUUAUUAUAAUACAAAAAAGCAAUCAUUGGUAAUGUAUUAACAAAUUAGUUAUUGGAAUAAGAUAUAAAUUGUAUUUUGAAGAGCAGUUUUCACUAAAUAGCAAAAUUGGAUUAUUCAACCAUCCUGGCUGGCUUAAGAAAAUUAAUUGACUUGAAAUUGUUGAAAACACUUGAAAUGGAUUGAAUAGUUGAAUGGAUUCAAGAGAAGAGAUUCUUAAUGUUCCAAUAAUUGGCUGUGUGUUUCUUCAAUAACUGCUUUAGUAUUUAAAAAUAAUAAUCAAUUUAAUAAUUGCAAUAAAAAUGCUUCUUUUUUAUCAAAGGAUAAGUUAAUUCUUGUGUUUUUCAACUCCGUUUGAUAUUAAUCGUCCCAAUUAAGUAAACGGAUUGUCUCAAAUUAAUCAGAUAUAUUCUCUCUUGUAAUUUCAAGCAUAAUGUUUCCAAUGAUUAAAAUCACUUAGUGACCAAACCAUUGCGUGCAGCUAAAUACAGAUUCCAAGUCGUAUUAUCAUUAUAACGCUUUCCAUGAUCUUCAUUGAUCUUCAUUUACACAUGAACUUAUUGAAUCUUUUUAAUUUUUCUUCUGAACAUGAUAAUAACGGUCAUCAUCUUAAUCCCAUCUCAGGUUCCAGUAUUGAAUUAUUUUAGAGGUUUGGCUUUUUGAUCCUUCUUUUGGUGAAUCUUUUGAAAGCGAUGAAGGUAAUUGAUAAUCAGUUGUAUUACUUGUUUUCAGUGAGAAAAAGUUCUUGAACUUGAGA